Molecule: long non-coding RNA, 1527 nt
Organism: Lytechinus variegatus (green sea urchin)
Lineage: Eukaryota; Metazoa; Echinodermata; Echinoidea; Temnopleuroida; Toxopneustidae
Exons: 4
Source: RefSeq, a predicted model, not a curated record
CAAAGAAGUUGCUUAUUUGGAUACAAAGACCAAUCCUAAGCCAGCUUUUGCUUCAGUUGGAAAUUGCCCGCUCAAAUUAACGCUUUCACAAACAAUGCAUCAUUUGGGUCAUCAUUUCGCUGUGUGAUACGAUCAGGGAAGCAAGUCUGAAGUUAUUCUACUGAAAGCCUGUAUCUUUUGCCUGUUUUCUAGAAUCAGUCGAACCAUAUCGAAAAAUUCAAAUUAUCUACAGAGAUGGGUCGUCUACAGAAUAAAGAAAUAUCGUAUAUGCCGAUCAUUGAAAAUGGGUUCGCAAAAAUUUCUAACUCAUCGAUUAAAUUUGGGAAUGGCAAGAAGAAGCAUACCAAUCAUCUGUGACUAUAGACGAUAGAGGUCAGGGAGGAAGAGAAGUUAAGCAUUCUAGAAGCAAUGACAAAAGCAGUGGGCCCAUCCUUGGCAACAACAUGACUUCUUCAGGGAAAUUUAACGAUCUCUUUGUGUCACCAGAACUGAGUCACAGAAUCCCGUACACCUCCAGACGGACACGGAACACAAUCCUCACAAUCACCAAAUCGCUCGACCUUCUGUCAGAGGCCACGAUGUCGAUCUCUUCGUUUUAUAUCUUCUAUUUUCAAUAUCCCACUUGCCUAAGUAAGACUCUCAUAUUUAUGCAAAGAUCUUAUUAGAUAUUCAGGAUGGAGACAACAGUCCACGGCCCAUAUUUACAUUAACAAUAAAUCAAACAUGCAGUGAGUUCAGAUAAUUAACCUUCUAUAUCUAUCUGUGUUAAUUCUUUAUUGUUGAAAUCUAGUAUAAUCAACACUCUAGUGUCCUAAUAAUUUUGGUUAAGGUUUGUUCCAUACAAUAAUAAUAAUUUAAGAUAAAUCUGAAAUUCCAAACAAUAUCAGAUUUAUUUUAAAUCUGUAUUAUAAAAUGUUGGUUUUCACAAUUUCAAAUCUAAAUAGUGUUUUCUUAAUCAGACGCCAAGUUUAUUGUGGGAUGCUCUGGGUAUAUGACUAAGUUUGAAAAGGUUUCCUUUUGCGUAAUCAACAAAUGCAAAUGUUUGUGUUAUGACAUUACAGAGCAAAAUAUUAGUUCUUUUUUAUUUAUUUGGACAGCAACAGUUUGUACAUACCAAAUUCUCUAAUUUGUAUUAUCUACAUUUUAUCACCCUUUUCACAAAGGAAUUCAUCUGACUAUUAAUUUGUAUUAUGUAUUUUUUCAUAAUUCUGUCACUCGAGUACAAACCCAAAAUUGUCCUUCUAUACCUUGAAUUUGUAUCAAAAUUAUUUUGUUGAUAUUUUCAUGAGGAGCAUGAUAACAUACUGCAAUGUACAAAACUCUUCAUGUUUACAGAAACACAUCGAACAAAAGUAAGCAAGUAAACUUCCAGAAAUAAUAAAGUUUUCAUAUGUAUAUUUUCAUAUUUGAAGUCCUUCAAUUGAAUAUCAACCUUUGAGUCAUUUUCCUACUGCCAUAUUUUUUCAACAAAAUAUACAUAUUCCCUGUAUCGAGAGUGUAACGAGACUGAAAUCUAAUUAAUGAUUA